This 762-nucleotide ribosomal RNA is filed under the name Triticum aestivum (bread wheat). Its description in RNAcentral is "partial small subunit ribosomal RNA". The record is from RNAcentral. Lineage: Eukaryota; Viridiplantae; Streptophyta; Magnoliopsida; Poales; Poaceae.
AUGGAUAGACGUAGGAUUCAUGGUACAUUGUUUUCCCGUGAGUACAUUGAAGGUGUCAAAGAAUUUAUGAACUUCAUUCAAGAGAAAUUCAGCGAGGAUGAUAAAAUACUCUGCCCAUGUAGAGAAUGCCUUAAUCAUAAGUACCAGCAUCAGACCGUUGUGAACACGCACAUAUUGAUGUAUGGCAUGGAAAGUACAUAUACUCGUUGGAUAUAUCAUGGAGAAGACUUUGAUGUAGAUGUUAUUGAACAUCCUGUUGAUGUGCAUGACAUCGAGGAUGGUGACAACGUCGCUGACCGAUUUGAAAAGAUGUUUGAACACCUACGCACAACAGUAGAACAAGCUCAGAGUGAAACUGAAAAUCAAGAUGCUAACAAUGGUGGAAACCCUUCUGAGAAUGAGUCUUUUUUGAAGGAUGUGAUGAAGGAGGCAAAACGGCAGCUUUAUCAUGGUUGUACCAAGUUUUCAAGGUUCUCCUUUGUGGUAAAGCUUCUUCACUUGAAGUCAUACCAUAGGAUCCCGAAUAGUGCAUUUACUGAAAUUUUGAAGCUAUUAGCUGAAGCAUUCCCUGAACCCAAUACGCUCCCAAAAUCGUAUAAGGAAGCAAAGAACCUUCUAAAGGAAUUAGGCCUUGGGUAUGAGUCUAUACAUGUGUGCUUCAAUAAUUGCAUUCUGUUCAGAAAGCAAUAUGCCAAUCAUGACAAUUGCCCAGUUUGUGGCCGAUCAAGGUGGAAAGACCCUGCUAGAAAGAAGAUUCCAUAG